Molecule: long non-coding RNA, 1590 nt
Organism: Serinus canaria (Common canary)
Lineage: Eukaryota; Metazoa; Chordata; Aves; Passeriformes; Fringillidae
Exons: 8
Source: RefSeq, a predicted model, not a curated record
AAAAGCUGCUGCAACUUUUCCCCUUAUAGGAAAGGACUCAGAGCUUUGCAAGAGCUACAGUUUAAUUAUAGCCAUGAUGUACCUGUUCUUUUUGGAUACAGAUUUAGACUUUGCAGAUUUCCUUGCUGUGUGUUUCAGGGAGACUCUUGGGAGUGAUCUUGUGAAGCUGCUGAAAUUGGAUUAUUUCCAGUGGCCAAAAUGGAAUUCCCUCUAAGGAGAUUUCCAGAACCAUGGAGAGACUGCACAGAUUCCUCACUGUUUGUAACAUGCAGAGUCCCAACACAGCUUGGCCCCAACUGGUCAAGGAGUGAAAACAACUCACAGCAGAAUCCAAUGGAACAAUCACCUGUGGGUAAACAAUCCCCAAACACAUUCCACAUGAACACAACACAGGAGAAGCAAAUGAGAUAAGAAUUGUUCUCCUUUUCUCUGAGGCCUCUCACUGCCUUUCAGCUUCCCAGGAGAAAAACCCUGGGUGAAGGAAUCACGUUCAGGGAAUGUGAAUGCCACACCUGUGCUGAUCUCUGCAGAGAAAGAAUCCAGUGAGUGGCACAGCCCAUUUCUGCUAAGCUUUUACCCCUGGAAUUGGGUCCUGCACCACAUCCCUACUCUGUACCAGAGUUGGGUUUUAAUCUCCUGUUUGAGACAAGUGGAUUUCCACCAUCUACAUCCUUUGCUGCCAUGAGGAAAACCUAUGGGAUACACAGCACGUUCCUGAAUAAACACCUGGAGAAAGUCAUUCCUCCUUUUACACUCAAGUGCCACAGGCAAAGGUUUUAAGGAAAACCUAGAGGGCCUUUAUACUGCUGAACCUUGAUACCCAGAUGCAGGAGGGCUACUGGCAUGUGUAAGUGCAUGUGUUUCCAAGGCCUUAGCACCUCAGAACAUAGAUUGGAAAGGAACUCAAAGCAAGUCUGUCUAAAGCAGGUGUCUCUCUUCCUUAGUAAGAGCUGGAUUCAAGGAAACUGGAGCCUCUAAUAUUAAUUUGCCAUCAGCUUUGUGAACAGCUGUCAUUGGACACCUGGAAAAUGCAGCAUUUUGCUUUCCCUCAUUGCUCAGAAGAGCAGAAGGACCCUGAAGGGUGGUUUUCAGGAAGCUUCACCUACAGGAGACUGAAGCAGUUCAGCUUUGAGGAUGGAGGUGGAGAACAUCAAGGACUGAAGGUGUUUAUGGGAAGUGUGUUUAUGGAAAAGGCUUUUGGUAAGUUUGGAAAAGUUUCUUUUCCUUGGACACAUCUAAAAGACAGAAAGGAGAGACUUCUUCUCCCCCCAAGAAUUGUUGUUGUUGUUUUGCAGACAAACCUGAAAAAGAGAAGAAAAAUUUCAGUAGGGAUUUUCAUGGAAAUAUUUUGUCAUUCUCAUGAUGCAACCAGCAGCAGACUGUUCUUUUCUGUAAUGAAUGUGAAUGUAAAGGGGAACUGAAGAUCCUCACCUGCUAUGAAGAAUGCCAGUGGGAUGAUAAGGUUACUUCUACAGGAGAUUAAAGGUGCCAGUUACACAUUGGGGGUAAGAGGUAUUGAAACACAAACAGGCUGUGCAGAAAGACUCUGAUUUCCCAGAGAAAAACCUCUUAUUUUCUAAGAUUAUAACA